CAGUAGCCACGGUAAUACGGAGGAUCCAAGCGUUAUCCGGAAUCAUUGGGUUUAAAGGGUCCGUAGGCGGUCUUGUAAGUCAGUGGUGAAAGCCCAUCGCUCAACGGUGGAACGGCCAUUGAUACUGCAGGACUUGAAUUAUUGGGAAGUAACUAGAAUAUGUAGUGUAGCGGUGAAAUGCUUAGAGAUUACAUGGAAUACCAAUUGCGAAGGCAGGUUACUACCAAUUGAUUGACGCUGAUGGACUAAAGCGUGGGUAGCGAACAGGAUUAGAUACCCCUGUAGUCCCUGUCUCUUAUAC
This 301-nucleotide ribosomal RNA is filed under the name uncultured bacterium. RNAcentral's name for it is "partial 16S ribosomal RNA". It matches the Rfam family "Bacterial small subunit ribosomal RNA", at positions 509 to 807 of the family's 1533-position model. The record is from RNAcentral.